Molecule: ribosomal RNA, 506 nt
Filed under: uncultured bacterium
Lineage: Bacteria
Description: partial 16S ribosomal RNA
Rfam family: Bacterial small subunit ribosomal RNA
Source: RNAcentral
GAUGAACGCUAGCUACAGGCUUAACACAUGCAAGUCGAGGGGUAACGAGAGGAAAGCUUGCUUUCCUUGUCGACGACCGGCGCGCGGGUGAGUAACGCGUAUCCAACCUGCCCCCAACUAAGGAAUAACCUUGCGAAAGUAAGACUAAUACCUUAUAAUUUCCUCAGAUGACAUCUGACGAGGAAUAAAGAUUUAUCGGUUGUGGAUGGGGAUGCGUCUGAUUAGCUUGUUGGCGGGGUAACGGCCCACCAAGGCAACGAUCAGUAGGGGUUCUGAGAGGAAGGUCCCCCACAUUGGAACUGAGACACGGUCCAAACUCCUACGGGAGGCAGCAGUGAGGAAUAUUGGUCAAUGGGCGGAAGCCUGAACCAGCCAAGUAGCGUGCAGGAUGACGGCCCUAUGGGUUGUAAACUGCUUUUAUACAGGAAUAAAGUUAGCCACGUGUGGUUAUUUGUAGGUACUGUAUGAAUAAGGACCGGCUAAUUCCGUGCCAGCAGCCGCCGUAA